UACGGAGGUCUCAAGCGUUGUUCGGAUUUAUUGGGCGUAAAGGGUGCGUAGGCGGCGCGGUAAGUCGGGUGUGAAAUCUCGGAGCUUAACUCCGAAACUGCAUUCGAUACUGCCGUGCUUGAGGACUGGAGAGGAGACUGGAAUUUACGGUGUAGCGGUGAAAUGCGUAGAUAUCAGGAGGAACACCGGUGGCGAAGGCGGGUCUCUGGGCCGAUACUGACGCUGAGGAGCGAAAGCGUGGGGAGCGAACAGG
RNAcentral lists this ribosomal RNA (253 nucleotides) under uncultured bacterium. RNAcentral's name for it is "partial 16S ribosomal RNA". It matches the Rfam family "Bacterial small subunit ribosomal RNA", at positions 524 to 776 of the family's 1533-position model. The record is from RNAcentral.